UACGUAGGUGGCAAGCGUUGUCCGGAUUUACUGGGCGUAAAGGGCGUGCAGGCGGUUUGCUAAGUCUAGGGUGAAAGCUCCCGGCUCAACUGGGAGAGGUCCUUGGAUACUGGCGAACUUGAGGGAUGCAGAGGAAAGUGGAAUUCCCGGUGUAGUGGUGAAAUGCGUAGAGAUCGGGAGGAAUACCUGUGGCGAAGGCGGCCUACUGGGCCGGACCUGACGCUGAGACGCGAAGGCGUGGGGAGCGAACGGG
RNAcentral lists this ribosomal RNA (253 nucleotides) under uncultured bacterium. RNAcentral describes it as "partial 16S ribosomal RNA". It matches the Rfam family "Bacterial small subunit ribosomal RNA", at positions 524 to 776 of the family's 1533-position model. The record is from RNAcentral.